ACGUAGGGGGCGAGCGUUGUCCGGAUUUAUUGGGCGUAAAGAGCUCGUAGGCGGUUCGAUAAGUCGGACGUGAAAUCUCCACGCUCAACGUGGAGGGGCCGUUCGAUACUGUCGUGACUCGAGUCCGGUAGGGGAGUGUGGAAUUCCCGGUGUAGCGGUGGAAUGCGUAGAGAUCCGGAAGAACACCGGUGGCGAAGGCGGCCCGCUGGGCAGGAAGACGGAGCAAUCCGUCGGCUGACGCUGAGGCGCGACAGCGUGGGGAGCAAACAGGA
This 272-nucleotide ribosomal RNA is filed under the name uncultured prokaryote. RNAcentral describes it as "partial 16S ribosomal RNA". It matches the Rfam family "Bacterial small subunit ribosomal RNA", at positions 525 to 777 of the family's 1533-position model. The record is from RNAcentral.